Sturnus vulgaris (Common starling) is the source of this 445-nucleotide non-coding RNA. NCBI's taxonomy places the organism in Eukaryota, Metazoa, Chordata, Aves, Passeriformes, Sturnidae. The record is from RefSeq and is a predicted model, not a curated record.
CUCAGUGGUUAAGACACAGCACUGCUUUAACUCUCACAUGGAGACCUGUUCGAUUGCAGCAUGCCCUGAGAUCAAUUCAAUACUUGCUGUAGGAGCCCAGGCUAGGAUCACCCAGAAAGUCUGAGGCAGUGGCAGGAACUGAACUGAGAUAUUUUCAGUCUCAGUAAAGGACACUCACUAGAAGACACGCCAUUCCACUCCAAUUAUCUCUUCUAUCGUAUCCCUUGAAGCCAGGCUCCAAGGUACACAAGUGAAAACCUGACAGCUGGAAUGCAAAGCCUCAGCUGAGACCGAAAGCUUUUACUAGAUCACAUUCUGCACAUUUAUAUUGUCUGGGGUAUUAGCACUGGAAACAAAAAUAAAGAUUUCCUAAUCUCACCAGAGACAACACCUUGCUGCCCCACCUUUGAGAAAUCUCCAGUCCACAGCAAAGACUUAAUCCAUC